CCCUAUUUUAUAUUGCUAUACUUUAUAAAGUAAUUUGAAAUUCAAUUAGUUUAAAAGGCUCAUGCAAAAUUGUUUCUAAGGUAACUCCAUUUCAGGAAAUGACAUCAGCAUCCCAUUUUUGCAGUUCAUACAAAAGCAGUGUGAAACCUGAUAGAAAGCAUUACACCAAGCAGAAAAAAAUCACUAGAUAAAUGAUGUUUUUAUACAUUUAUAUUGUUCUUCUCUUAGAGAUGCAAGCAGUUCUGGGUUUUGAUCAAGGUCAAAAGACUUUUCUUAAGGCAGAGGGGAAAACUGUGUAUCUGCCCUGCAAAGUGACUGGUCAGAGCUAUAUCCAUUGGUACCAAAUGAAAGAUGGUGAAGCCCCAUCGAGGCUACUCUAUAUCAGUCAAAGAGGUGAUGUCACUCGUGAUACCAAUAACCCUCAAGCAAAUGAUUUCACAGUGGACAAAACAAAGCUUUAUGAUCUAAAACUGACUGACAUUCAAAAGAGUCAUGCUGCUUUUUACUUCUGCGCCUACUGGGACUCAA
This is a long non-coding RNA of Cyprinus carpio (common carp), 528 nucleotides long. RefSeq lists it as uncharacterized. NCBI's taxonomy places the organism in Eukaryota, Metazoa, Chordata, Actinopteri, Cypriniformes, Cyprinidae. The record is from RefSeq and is a predicted model, not a curated record. The transcript is spliced from 2 exons.